UUUAUGGAGAGUUUGAUUCUGGCUCAGGACGAACGCUGGCGGCGUGCUUAACACAUGCAAGUCGAACGGUGAAACUUGACUGAUCCCUUCGGGGUGAUGACUUGU
RNAcentral lists this ribosomal RNA (105 nucleotides) under Candidatus Opitulatrix roisinitermitis. Its description in RNAcentral is "partial 16S ribosomal RNA". It matches the Rfam family "Bacterial small subunit ribosomal RNA", at positions 1 to 96 of the family's 1533-position model. Lineage: Bacteria; Bacillati; Actinomycetota; Actinomycetes; Bifidobacteriales; Bifidobacteriaceae. The record is from RNAcentral.